Molecule: ribosomal RNA, 253 nt
Filed under: uncultured bacterium
Lineage: Bacteria
Description: partial 16S ribosomal RNA
Rfam family: Bacterial small subunit ribosomal RNA
Source: RNAcentral
UACGUAGGGUCCAAGCGUUAAUCGGAAUUACUGGGCGUAAAGCGUGCGCAGGCGGUUCGUUAAGUCAGCUGUGAAAGCCCCGAGCUUAACUUGGGAAUUGCGGUUGAAACUGGCGGACUAGAAUCUGGCAGAGGGGGGUGGAAUUCCACGUGUAGCAGUGAAAUGCGUAGAGAUGUGGAGGAACACCGAUGGCGAAGGCAGCCCCCUGGGCUGAGAUUGACGCUCAGGCACGAAAGCGUGGGGAGCAAACAGG